CCAACGGCUCUUUUAAGAGCCACCCAAGUCCCUCAAAGAGACGGAU
Non-coding RNA from Gasterosteus aculeatus (three-spined stickleback), 46 nucleotides. The record is from Rfam. NCBI's taxonomy places the organism in Eukaryota, Metazoa, Chordata, Actinopteri, Perciformes, Gasterosteidae.